This 369-nucleotide ribosomal RNA is filed under the name Triticum aestivum (bread wheat). RNAcentral describes it as "partial small subunit ribosomal RNA". The record is from RNAcentral. Lineage: Eukaryota; Viridiplantae; Streptophyta; Magnoliopsida; Poales; Poaceae.
AUGGCAUGGUGUCAUGAUACCGCCCCAAGAAGUUGCACUAAAAGAAUUGAAAAUGUUCCAUGGCUUCGAGAGGGCGCCAGGAAUGAAGAGAAAGAGAGAGACCUUGCUAGAGGGAAGGACAACAACGUCGAAUGGCCCGAGAGAGGAGAAGGAAUGACCAAAUCUAUGGUGGUCCAUGUCAAAAGUUCCCUGGCAUCAGGGGAAGUUUUGUUUGAUAGGAAUAUGUCAUCAACGAGUAGAAGCGCAACAUGUGGGGAGAAUGAUACCAGGGGUCACUCCAUUAUUGAGUGCACCAUGGCGAGGAACGAUUGGGCGCUUGCUGGAGAGGAUACUACAGAGGUUAUGUCACAUGGUGAAAAUAUGCCCUAG